CAGGGAUUGCCUUAGUAACGGCGAGUGAAGCGGCAAUAGCUCAAAUUUGAAAUCUGGCUCUUUUAGAGUCCGAGUUGUAAUUUGCAGAGGGCGCUUUGGCAUUGGCAGCGGUCCAAGUUCCUUGGAACAGGACGUCACAGAGGGUGAGAAUCCCGUACGUGGUCGCUAGCCUUUGCCGUGUAAAGCCCCUUCGACGAGUCGAGUUGUUUGGGAAUGCAGCUCUAAAUGGGAGGUAAAUUUCUUCUAAAGCUAAAUACUGGCCAGAGACCGAUAGCGCACAAGUAGAGUGAUCGAAAGAUGAAAAGCACUUUGGAAAGAGAGUCAAAUAGCACGUGAAAUUGUUGAAAGGGAAGCGCUUGCAGCCAGACUUGCCUGUAGUUGCUUAUCUGGACUUUUGUCCAGUGCACUCUUCUGCGGGCAGGCCAGCAUCAGUUUGGGCGGUUGGAUAAAGGUCUCUGUCAUGUACCUCUCUUCGGGGAGGCCUUAUAGGGGAGACGACAUGCAACCAGCCUGGACUGAGGUCCGCGCAUCUGCUAGGAUGCUGGCGUAAUGGCUGUAAGCGGCCCGUCUUGAAACACGGACCAAGGAGUCUAACAUCUAUGCGAGUGUUUGGGUGUCAAGCCCAGACGCGUAAUGAAAGUGAACGGAGGUGGGAACCCUUUGGGUGCACCAUCGACCGAUCCUGAUGUCUUCGGAAGGAUUUGAGUAAGAGCAUGGCUGUUGGGACCCGAAAGAUGGUGAACUAUGCUUGAAUAGGGUGAAGCCAGAGGAAACUCUGGUGGAGGCUCGCAGCGGUUCUGACGUGCAAAUCGAUCGUCAAAUUUGGGCAUAGGGGCGAAAGACUAAUCGAACUAUCUAGUAGCUGGUUCCUGCCGAAUUCUCCCCUCCGAGGAA
This 894-nucleotide ribosomal RNA is filed under the name Phaeosphaeriopsis sp. RHP-2017a. Its description in RNAcentral is "eukaryotic LSU rRNA". It matches the Rfam family "Eukaryotic large subunit ribosomal RNA", at positions 69 to 979 of the family's 3401-position model. The record is from RNAcentral. Lineage: Eukaryota; Fungi; Ascomycota; Dothideomycetes; Pleosporales; Phaeosphaeriaceae.